UACGAAGGGCCCGAGCGUUGCGCGGAAUCAUUGGGCUUAAAGCGUGCGUAGGCGGACCCGUAAGUGCCUUGUGAAAUCCCACGGCUCAACCGUGGAACUGCUUGGUAGACUGCGGGUCUUGAGGCCGGUAGAGGUCGCCGGAACGUUAGGUGGAGCGGUGAAAUGCGUAGAUAUCUAACGGAACGCCCAAGGCGAAGGCAGGCGACUGGGCCGGUUCUGACGCUGAGGCACGAAAGCGUGGGGAGCGAACGGG
Molecule: ribosomal RNA, 253 nt
Filed under: uncultured bacterium
Lineage: Bacteria
Description: partial 16S ribosomal RNA
Rfam family: Bacterial small subunit ribosomal RNA
Source: RNAcentral